Molecule: long non-coding RNA, 713 nt
Filed under: Struthio camelus australis
Lineage: Eukaryota; Metazoa; Chordata; Aves; Struthioniformes; Struthionidae
Description: lncRNA (ENSSCUG00000005016.1)
Source: RNAcentral
UGUCCCUGAUCAACACAUUGAGAGGAUUUUAUUAUCUUUUCUUUUCCUCCCCGACAGCUCAAGUGCCAAGGUAGCUCAGGUAGAAAGCUGCAAACCGCAGGAAUUAAUCUUCACUGACAAAGGCAUCCCUGCUAAGGACUGGUCUGGAUUGGAGGAUGUGCUUGAAGCUGCAGACUCUAUGAGCAGGGACACUCCCAGCACCCUCGAUUAAGGCGCUGCUGGUGCCUCAGGACGGCCUCAGGACGGCUUUUCCAUGGGCACGGGGGAGAUUCCUCAGCUCGCAUCUCUCCAGACAGGUUGCUGAGUGCAAGGCAAGCCUUCAAAGCCCUGAAGCAGGAGAAACGAUUGCUUUCACUCUGGCCAAAUUCUCACAAGUUGAACAGACAGACCUGAUCAAGCUUAAAGGACCCUGCAGCUACAAACAGAUAUCCAAGCAUACAGAAGUACAGGAUCUGAGAAACAGUCCAGGAAGGAGAGAGCCGUGUGCCGAACUGCUGAGCCAAGACCAGAGUCAACCCUGAGCCCUCCUCACUACAAGGCAGACCCCACACCAUCGCUGGAGGAAGGGGUUGCUGUCUUGGAGGCACUACAGGUGGCAGAGCAGAACUGAAGAGCUUUCUUUUGUUUUUCAUAAGAAAUCAUCAAAGGUGAGGAUGAAAAAAUUAUUUUUGUGGAAUUGACUGUGUGAAACGUUUUUUUGUUUUGAGUGUUUG